Molecule: non-coding RNA, 488 nt
Organism: Cinara cedri
Lineage: Eukaryota; Metazoa; Arthropoda; Insecta; Hemiptera; Aphididae
Source: the annotation of a GenBank genome assembly
AGUUAAUUGAAAAAAAACCAACGCUAUUAGGUACACAUACUGUACAAUUUUUGAUAAUUUAUAAAAUUACUGCAAAAUAAUCUCAAACUUAUUAUACUCAUGCAGUCAUGCUUCAUUAAAUUGUUCGACGAAUGCAUACACUCAUCUGACUUGUGUCUGAAUCGUAUCUCACAUCGCAUGCAUAUCCUUUGUGUAAACAUUCUACUUAGUCGAAUAUUGUUUUCCCAUAGCUAUUAUGAAUUCCGAUAGUCUGUUCGUAAAGUAUAAUAUGUAUAUUCAUCAUAUAACACCAGAACUUAUGUACAACUUCAAUUGAAAUUGUUAUCCGAAAAAAAUACGUUUAGGUAGCAGAUAGCCAAUCAAAUUAUUGUGAUAUUUGAAAAAAUGAAUAUCGCCUAAGUAGGUACCUACCAUCAUCUAUAUUAAAUUAACAGACUAUUAUAUCCACACUCGGAUUAAUUUCGAUUUUCUACAUUUCUAAAAUUACA